This 253-nucleotide ribosomal RNA is filed under the name uncultured bacterium. Its description in RNAcentral is "partial 16S ribosomal RNA". It matches the Rfam family "Bacterial small subunit ribosomal RNA", at positions 524 to 776 of the family's 1533-position model. The record is from RNAcentral.
UACGUAGGGUGCAAGCGUUGUCCGGAUUUAUUGGGCGUAAAGAGCUCGUAGGCGGUUUGUCGCGUCGACUGUGAAAGCCCGGGGCUCAACUCCGGGUCUGCAGUCGAUACGGGCAGACUAGAGUUCGGUAGGGGAGACUGGAAUUCCUGGUGUAGCGGUGAAAUGCGCAGAUAUCAGGAGGAACACCGAUGGCGAAGGCAGGUCUCUGGGCCACUACUGACGCUGAGAAGCGAAAGCAUGGGGAGCGAACAGG